RNA transcript from Artibeus jamaicensis (Jamaican fruit-eating bat), 2454 nucleotides. It is a transcript of the gene named ribophorin II, with no coding region annotated. Lineage: Eukaryota; Metazoa; Chordata; Mammalia; Chiroptera; Phyllostomidae. The record is from RefSeq and is a predicted model, not a curated record. The transcript is spliced from 20 exons.
CCGGCGCGCUCCUGAAGCCACUUUCCCGAGCGGAAGUCAGCCUGCGUUUCGGGCCCUUUGGGGACCUGCUCGGAGGAAUGGCGCUGCCGGGUGCCUGAUCCUGUAGAGUCUCAACAACAGUACUGUCUAUUGUCAACACAAUGAUCCUGUUAAAAUGUUCAGGCACUGUCCUCCUGCUGUCCCUGACAAUCAUAGCCAGUGCCCUGGCUCUGACGCCCACUCACUACCUCACCAAGCAUGAUGUGGAAAGGCUGAAAGCUUCGCUGGACCGCCCUUUCACAAGUUUAGAAUCUGCUUUCCACUCCAUCGUGGGGCUCAACAGCCUCGGUGCCCGGGUGCCAGAUGUAAAGAAAGCCUGCGCCUUCAUUAAAUCAAACCUUGAUCCCAGCAAUGUGGAUUCCCUGUUCUACGCAGCCCAGUCCAGCCAGGCCCUCUCAGGCUGUGAGAUCUCUAUUUCCAAUGAGACCAAAGAUCUGCUUCUGGCAGCUGUCAGUGAAGACUCGUCUGUUUCCCAGAUCUACCACGCGGUUGCAGCCCUGAGUGGCUUCGGCCUUCCCUUGGCUUCCCAGGAAGCACUCAGUGCUCUCACCGCUCGCCUCAGCAAGGAGGAGACCGUGCUAGCAACAGUCCAGGCUCUGCAGACGGCAUCUCACCUGUCCCAGCAGGCUGACCUGAGGAGUAUCGUGGAGGAGAUUGAGGACCUUGUUGCUCGCCUGGAUGAACUGGGAGGCUUGUAUCUGCAGUUCGAAGAAGGACUGGAAACAACAGCAUUAUUUGUGGCUGCCACCUACAAGCUCAUGGACCAUGUGGGGACUGAGCCAUCGAUUAAGGAGGAUCAGGUCAUCCAGCUGAUGAACGCAGUCUUUAGCAAGAAGAACUUCGACUCGCUCUCAGAGGCCUUCAGUGUGGCCUCUGCCGCCGCCGCGCUCUCCCAGAAUCGCUACCACGUGCCGGUUGUGGUUGUGUCCCAGGGCUCUCCUUCCGACACGCAUGAACAGGCGAUCCUGCGGUUACAGGUCACCAACGUUCUGUCCCAGCCUCUGACUCAGGCAACUGUUAAACUAGAGCACGCUAAAUCCGUUGCUUCCAGAGCCACUUUCCUGCAGAAGACCUCUUUCACCCCUGUGGGGGAUGUUUUUGAACUAAACUUCAUGAAUGUCAAGUUGUCCAGUGGUUAUUAUGACUUCUCCGUCAAAGUUGAAGGUGACAACCGCUAUAUUGCAAACAGUGUAGAGCUCAAAGUCAAGAUCUCAACUGAAGUUGGCAUCACCAAUGUUGAUCUCUCCACUGUGGAUAAGGAUCAGAGCAUUGCCCCCAAAACCACACGGGUGACCUACCCAGCCAAGGCCAAGGGCACAUUCAUCGCAGAUAGCCACCAGAACUUUGCUCUGUUCUUCCAGCUGGUGGACGUGAACACGGGUGCCGAGCUCACACCUCACCAGACAUUUGUCCGACUUCAUAACCAGAAGACUGGCCAGGAAGUGGUGUUUGUUGCUGAGCCAGACAGCAAGAAUGUAUACAAGUUUGAGUUGGAUACUUCCGAGAGAAAGAUCGAAUUUGACUCUGCAUCCGGCACCUACACUCUCUACUUGAUCAUCGGAGAUGCCACUUUGAAGAACCCAAUCCUGUGGAACGUGGCUGAUGUGGUCAUCAAGUUCCCUGAGGAAGAUGCUCCAUCCACUGUUCAGUCGAAGAACCUUUUUACCCCAAAACAGGAAAUUCAGCACCUGUUUCGUGAGCCUGAGAAGAGGCCCCCCACAGUGGUGUCUAAUACAUUCACCGCCCUGAUCCUCUCUCCCUUGCUCCUGCUCUUUGCUCUGUGGAUCCGGAUUGGUGCCAAUGUCUCCAACUUCACUUUUGCUCCUAGCACGAUAAUCUUUCACCUGGGACACGCUGCUAUGCUGGGGCUCAUGUACAUCUACUGGACUCAGCUCAACAUGUUCCAGACCCUGAAGUACCUGGCUAUCUUGGGCAGUGUGACGUUUCUGGCUGGCAAUCGGAUGCUGGCCCAUCAGGCGAUCAAAAGGACCUUUGCAGGGAGAAUGUAAUUCAGAAUGUGCCCUCCAGCAAGGCUGCGGAUUAAGUUGGAUCGCUGCAGAGCAGAGCAGUAGAUUGGCAAAAUAUAGGACAUUACGAACAGCGCAUUAGUCCCAGAAGAAAGGAAAGUCUAAAACCCAAAACAAAUGUCAAGAAGAGGAGUCAAGAACAAUUUUGUUUGAAAGGGGGAAUGAAAAAAUUACUGUGUUUAUGAAGAAGCAAGUUGACACUGUGGUUACACUGUGCUUGUUUUUCUGUUGCCCACACAGAGCCGGAGGGGCCAGACAGUCUGUUCCUCAGCAGGACGCCCUAGCAGGACGCUGUGAAUACUUCUGACUUACCCUAAUGUUGCAUUGGAACAGUUGAAGUCUGUAAAAAGUCUGUUUUGGAAUAAAGAGAAUAAUGGGGACAAAGGUC